RNAcentral lists this microRNA precursor (196 nucleotides) under Oryza brachyantha (malo sina). RNAcentral's name for it is "MIR1435 microRNA precursor family". It matches the Rfam family "MIR1435 microRNA precursor family". The record is from Rfam by way of RNAcentral. Lineage: Eukaryota; Viridiplantae; Streptophyta; Magnoliopsida; Poales; Poaceae.
UACCUUUGUCCUAAGUCAAGCCUCCUCAAGUUUAACCAAGUUUAUAGAAAAAUAUAGCCAUUUCCAAAACAAAAAAAAAUACUACAAAAAUAUGUUCAAUGGUGGAUUUAAUGAAACUAAUUGGUGUUAUGGAUGUUAGUAUAUUUUUCCAUAAACUUGGUCAAAUUUAAAGAGGUUUGACUUAAAAUAAACCCAA